RNAcentral lists this small nuclear RNA (89 nucleotides) under Castor canadensis (American beaver). The record is from RNAcentral. Lineage: Eukaryota; Metazoa; Chordata; Mammalia; Rodentia; Castoridae.
GAGUUCAGCAACACUUCUGCUAAAAUUGGAAUGACCCAGGGAAGAUUAGCAUGGCCCCUAAACAAAUUUGUGAAUCAUUCCAUAUUUUU